This 481-nucleotide ribosomal RNA is filed under the name uncultured bacterium. RNAcentral describes it as "bacterial SSU rRNA". It matches the Rfam family "Archaeal small subunit ribosomal RNA", at positions 723 to 1203 of the family's 1478-position model. The record is from RNAcentral.
AGCGAAUAGAUACCCGGGUAGUCCCAGCCGUAAACGAUGCUCGCUAGGUGUCAGGCAUGGCGCGACCGUGUCUGGUGCCGCAGGGAAGCCGUGAAGCGAGCCACCUGGGAAGUACGGCCGCAAGGCUGAAACUUAAAGGAAUUGGCGGGGGAGCACAACAACGGGUGGAGCCUGCGGUUUAAUUGGACUCAACGCCGGACAACUCACCGGGGGCGACAGCAAUAUGUAGGCCAAGCUGAAGACUUUGCCUGAAUCGCUGAGAGGAGGUGCAUGGCCGUCGCCAGUUCGUACUGUGAAGCAUCCUGUUAAGUCAGGCAACGAGCGAGACCCGUGCCCACUGUUACCAGCAUGUCCUUUGGGAUGAUGGGUACUCUGUGGGGACCGCCGGUGUCAAAUCGGAGGAAGGUGCGGGCCACGGUAGGUCAGUAUGCCCCGGAAUCUCCCGGGCUACACGCGGGCUACAAUGAAUGGGACAAUGGGU